GCAAACUUGGUCAUUUAGAGGAAGUAAAAGUCGUAACAAGGUUUCCGUAGGUGAACCUGCGGAAGGAUCAUUACAGAGUUCAUGCCCUAAACGGGUAGACCUCCCACCCUUGGAUAUUAUACCUUUGUUGCUUUGGCGGGCCGCCACGGCCACUGGCUUCGGCUGGUGAGUGCCCGCCAGAGGAUCACAAACUCUGAAUAUACAGUGUUGUCUGAGUACUAUAUAAUUAGUUAAAACUUUCAACAACGGAUCUCUUGGUUCUGGCAUCGAUGAAGAACGCAGC
This 283-nucleotide unclassified non-coding RNA is filed under the name uncultured fungus. RNAcentral describes it as "partial contains small subunit ribosomal RNA, internal transcribed spacer 1, and 5.8S ribosomal RNA". The stretch from base 1 to 73 matches the Rfam family "Eukaryotic small subunit ribosomal RNA", at positions 1759 to 1831 of the family's 1831-position model. Lineage: Eukaryota; Fungi. The record is from RNAcentral.